AAAUUGAUAAUGAUAUUACUAAUUGAUUGGUUAAUCUACCUUAUCUUAACUCUUCUGAUUUCUAUCAUUAUUACGAAAACAUCAUUUUCAAUAAUAAAGAACAUGGAGAAUGAUUUUUUGGCUAAUAAUAUGAUAUUUUACAUUGAAAAAGAAAUAGUUCAACAUUUUAACACUAAUUCAAUUAUUGAUGAAUUUUUUUUAAUAAGGCCCAAAUAUAUUGAAAAAGGAAACGUUACAAAAAAAAACAAGGGGGUGGUAGGGGAAAA
This 266-nucleotide long non-coding RNA is filed under the name Lathyrus oleraceus (garden pea). Its description in RNAcentral is "Pisum sativum (pea) long non-coding RNA (PSAT_LNC029885)". The record is from RNAcentral. Lineage: Eukaryota; Viridiplantae; Streptophyta; Magnoliopsida; Fabales; Fabaceae.